This 15156-nucleotide long non-coding RNA is filed under the name Nicotiana benthamiana. RNAcentral's name for it is "long non-coding RNA (NBEN_LNC039152)". Lineage: Eukaryota; Viridiplantae; Streptophyta; Magnoliopsida; Solanales; Solanaceae. The record is from RNAcentral.
UUUUUUUUUUUUGCCUUCCUACUUAUACCUUAACUAACAAACUCUUUCCUUUCAGAAACUUCUUUUCUCUUUUUCUAUAUAUCUGGUGACACUGCAACUUCCCUUUUGCUUUUGGUGUCUCAUUCAACUUUUGAAUUCUUUUUAGGUACCAAAGAAAACAAAAAGUUUCAAGACGCAAAUAUUUGAAGGUGCAUGAUUUUGUGAGAUUAAAAUUUCAGUUUUGUAGAAACCAUCAUUAUUAUUUCAGGUAACUCAUGUUCCCUUUAUGUCUUGUUCAUUUGUUGUUUUUACUCUUAAUUUCCAUCAUUAUAUACUACAGUAUGUUUUUUCUAAUUUUUUGCUCUUCAUUAUUAUGUAAUAACUACAUAAUUGUCCAUCAAAGUAUUUGUGUACCUGAGAUGAUUCUUAACAACUAAGAUGCAUGUUACUUAUGAUUUUUUUAAAUUAUUUUUUGUUUUCUGGGUAUUUCUGUUUCUGUUAUGGUGUACUUAUAAUUGAAUUAUGAGCUGUUUGUUGUCUCUGUUCAUUCCCCUGUUUCUUGUUUUCCUAUUGUAGUAUGCAAAUUUUCUAGGAAAAGAAAGUUUCUAUGUCAUUGUUCAUUUAAGAAUAAGUUUCUAAAAGGUUGUUAUUAUUACAGCUAUUGAAUCCAAGAUUUCAAUAUUCUUGGUUAUAUUACUAUCCAUUUUGGGGUGUAAAUCAGUAUCUUUUCUCAUAGCCUAGACAGUCUGUAAAAAUAAGGUGAAACUAUACAUUUUGAGUCACUUUAAAGGGAGAUAAUUUUAUUUUUAUAUGUGUAAUUCACAACUAAAUGAGAAAUUGACAUAUUAACAUCAGUUUAUUUCCUUCCCACCCCCACCCAACAACAAUCAAUAUAUGUAUGUGUAUGUAUUUGGUUCUAUCUUGUAAUUUGAACUUCCUGUAUCUGCAAGUUUUCUUUUUCUUGAACUGCAAUUUUUAUCUUCCUAUUGUAUAAAAGUACAUGACAAACAUUUGGUUAGGUAUACACCACUUAUUGAUAAAAGACAGCUUUUUUUUGAAUUGGAUAUAUUACUAUUGUUUUAAUUAUUUUUUUAUAUACCAUUUACCUUAAUUUUUGGUUUCUGAUUUUCCACUGUCCUCCUUUCAGCUACUUCUAGGAUGGACACCCAUAAUGGCAAUAAUGGAGCUCCUGAUUGGAUUUGUCUCCCCCUCAUGAAAUGACCGUUUUGCCCUUUCCAAUUUCAACAAUGGCAAGAAUCCAAAAACUCCACUCCCUCCAAAUUCUCGCCACUUUCUUGUUUUUGGUUUUGUUUUUUCAUCCAUCCAAGUCCUUAACUGCUGAAACUCAGGCCCUUUUACAUUUCAAAGAACAACUCAAUGACCCUUUGAAUUACUUGGAUUCUUGGAAAGACUCAGAAACUCCUUGUAAAUUCAAUGGAAUUACUUGUGAUCAAAAGACUGGUCGUGUUACUGAAAUUUCCCUUGAUAAUAAGUCCAUUUCUGGGGUGAUUUCCCCUUCAAUUUUUUCACUCAAAAGCCUCACUUCUUUGGUACUACCUUCAAAUUCUUUGUCAGGGAACCUUCCAAGUGAAAUAACCAACUGCACCAAUCUCAAAAUCUUGAAUGUCACUGGAAAUAACAUGAAUGGAACCAUACCUGAUUUAUCUAAGUUGACUAACUUAGAAGUUUUGGACUUGUCUAUAAACUACUUUUCAGGAAAGUUUCCAUCUUGGGUUGGAAAUUUGACUAGUUUGGUUGCACUAGGCCUAGGGGAUAAUGACUUUGUUGAAGGUAAAAUUCCUGAGACUCUAGGGAAUUUAAAGAAAGUGUAUUGGCUUUACUUGGCUGGCUCAAAUUUGAUAGGAGAAAUCCCAGAAUCUAUUUUUGAAAUGGAGGCACUAGGAACUUUGGAUAUUUCAAGAAAUCAGAUUUCUGGGAAUUUCCCUAAGUCCAUAAACAAGCUGAAAAAGUUAUGGAAAAUUGAGCUGUUUCAAAAUAAGCUGACAGGUGAACUUCCUGUACAACUUGCAGAACUGUCUCUUUUGCAGGAAUUUGAUGUUUCUAGCAACCAGAUGUACGGGACGCUGCCUCGGGGAAUCGGGAACCUGAAAAAGUUAAAAGUGAUUCAAAUAUUCAAGAAUAACUUCUCUGGUGAAAUUCCUCCUGGUUUGGGAGAUAUGCAGCAUCUUGAUGCCUUUUCUGUUUACAGGAACAGUUUUUCUGGGGCAUUUCCAGCAAAUCUCGGUCGGUUUUCGCCCCUGAAUAGCAUAGACAUAUCUGAAAACAAAUUUACUGGUGAAUUCCCAAAAUACUUGUGCCAAAAUGGGAACUUGCAGUUUUUGCUAGCUAUCGAAAACAGUUUCUCGGGGGAGUUUCCAAGCACGUAUUCCUCUUGUAAGCCUUUACAGAGAUUGAGGGUCAGUAAUAAUCAACUUUCUGGGAAAAUAUCUGAUGGUGUAUGGGGACUUCCUAAUGUGUUGAUGCUGGAUUUCAGUAAUAAUAAGUUCAGUGGAGCUAUAUCUCCUGAUAUCGGGACUGCUACUAGCUUGAAUCAGUUGGUGUUAUCAAAUAACAGAUUUUCAGGUGAGAUUCCAAAAGAAGUUGGAAAACUCACACAAUUGGAAAGGCUGUACUUGGAUAACAAUGAAUUCUCGGGUGCAAUACCUUCUGAGCUUGGUAAACUGAAGCAACUAUCAUCUUUUCAUUUGGAGAAGAACUCAUUCUCAGGGACAAUCCCAUCAGAAUUGGGUGAAUUUCCUAGGCUUGCAGACCUGAAUCUUGCUUCAAAUCUUCUUACUGGUAGCAUUCCCAAUUCUUUAUCGACCAUGACAUCUUUGAACUCUUUGAAUCUUUCACACAACAGACUCACUGGUAAAAUACCGACUAGCUUGGACAAUCUGAAGCUGUCGUCGUUAGAUCUCUCUAACAACCAGCUAUCAGGAGAAGUUUUAUUGGAUCUUUUAACAAUGGGAGGAGAUAAGGCAUUUGCUGAUAACAAGGGACUUUGUGUUGACGAAAGCAUCAAAUUCUCAAUGAACUCAGGCUUGGCCGGGUGUGGUGGAAAGGCAGCUCAACACAAGUUAAACAAACUAGUUGUAUUUUGCAUUGUGUUGCUUUCGUUAGCUGUUCUAAUGGGCGGUUUAUUGCUCGUCAGUUACCUAAAUUACAAGCAUAGUCAUGAUGCGGAUCCUGAAGAACAACUGGAGGAAGCCAAGGGAACAAAUCCAAAAUGGAAGCUAGAGAACUUCCACCAUGUGGAAUUUGAUGCAGAUGAUGUUUGUGGUCUCGACGAGGACAAUUUGAUUGGAAGUGGAGGUACAGGGAAAGUUUAUCGGUUAGACUUGAAGAAAGGUUGUGGAACUGUAGCUGUGAAGCAGCUGUGGAAAGGGAAUGGUGUGAAAGUUUUGACAAGGGAAAUGGAAAUUUUGGGGAAAAUCAGGCACAGAAAUAUUGUAAAGUUGUAUGCCAGUCUAAUGAAAGAAGGUUCAAAUUUCUUGGUUUUUGAGUACAUGCCAAAUGGUAAUCUUUUCAAAGCACUACACCGAGAGAUCAAGGCUGGCAACCCGGAAUUAGAUUGGUAUCAGAGAUAUAAAAUAGCACUCGGAGCUGCAAAAGGAAUUGCUUAUCUGCACCAUGAUUGUUGCCCUCCUAUUAUUCAUAGAGAUAUUAAAUCAACCAACAUUCUACUUGAUGAGGAGUAUGAAGCAAAAGUUUCUGAUUUCGGGGUUGCAAAAGUCUCAGAAAUUUCUUCUAGGGGAUCCGAGCUCAGUUGUUUUGCAGGCACUCAUGGUUAUAUGGCUCCUGGUAAGAUUCAAGAAAACCAGAAGUUCAAUGACCAUUUUUUGCUUUUCUUGUUACUUUUCAUUUGUGAAAUAACCUUCUAAGAUUUAACCUUUUUAUUUGUUUGCUUGACAGAAAUGGCAUAUACUCUGAGAGUAACAGAAAAGAGUGACAUUUACAGCUUUGGCGUUGUGCUGUUGGAGCUAGUAACCGGAAGAAAACCAAUAGAAGAUGCAUUUGGAGAAGGAAAAGACUUGGUCUACUGGACCUCAACUCAUUUAAAUGACAAGGAAAGCAUUGUGAAAGUUCUUGAUCAGAAGGUGGUUUCUGAACUUGUUCAGGAAGAUAUGAUCAAAGUGUUGAGAAUCGCCACACUUUGUACAAUGAAGCUUCCUAAUUUGCGCCCUAACAUGAAAGAAGUCGUCAAGUUGCUUGUUGAUGCUGAACCUUGGACAUUUAGAUCUUCAAGCAAAUCUGAGAAAAAGGGGCACAAUUUUUCUGAGGUCUAAUUUGCCUCUGUGGUUUUUUCCCAUGUUGAUAGUUGUUAUGUAAUACUAUAAUUCUCAAGUUAGUUUUAGGUAUAUGACAUAUAUAUAUAUAUAUAUAUAUAUAUACACACACACAAUUAUCCCAUGUGAAAUGAUUUUACAUUUCUUUGUGUAAAAGUUGAAGUGUGUAAAAUGAAAUGUUUCUUUUUUGUUGUGGCUGGAAAGUUGAGAGGUUCAAUUGAUCUGUACUGUGGAAGUUAAAAUGUACAUGGUUAAGAACUUUAACUUUGAAAAGUGAAGUUUUUAUAAUUCUUAACAUUGGUAUUAAUUAUUAUCUACUAAAGGAUGAGGAUAACUAUCCUCUUCUGCCUUAAUAGAGAGGGAGGGAGAGGAAAACAAAAAACAAAGCAUGAAUAUUGAGAGAUACAAGAAGUUACAAGUUACAACAAUGCAAUGUUACAGCAACAUCUUGCAGGUCAAAUAGCUUCAAUUAAGUCUAUCUGCACCAUCAAUCUGAGCAAAUAACUCCUGUUUGGAAAUGCUUCCAUCCACCUGAAAUUAAAAGGAUUAGUUACCUUCUAUAACAAAGGUUGAUACCUUAUUUAUUUUAAAUAAAUAUUAUUUUAAAAAUUGUAUUCUAUAAUUAUCUUUUGAUUUUUAUAGCCAAAUACCUAUUUAUGGUCACCUUCUAUCCUUAAGCCAUAAAAUACGCUGCCUUUCUGGCUUGACCCUAAUGAAGGCAACGAAAUCUCCAUGGCCAACUCCAGUAUAUCCUUCCCGAUUUUGAUUGUUUUCGGAAGUAGAUUGUUCUUCUUUAUAAUCAAAAGGAAUUUUUAGGACUUUAACUUCUUGGCAAUUUCUUCUUCAGCAGGUGCUAACAAUUUCUUCCGAUUUGUUACCGGCGGGUGCUAACAAUUCAGUUCUAGGACUUUAACUUCUUCAUAUGCGUUACAGAUGCUAACAAUUUCUUCUUCAACGAUCUUUUUUGUUUUCUUCUUCUUUCUCUCAUUGUUUCUUAUGAAAUCAUAGUAGGAAUCCGAUGGGUCCUCGGAAAAUCGUCGACUAAAUAGGUCGUCUGAAGUUUUGGUUGAGCAAUUUGAAGAUUAUAUUACCUUUUUUAAGAGCAUUUCAAUGUAUCUCGCUGUAUUUCUAUGUAUUUCUUUGUAUUCCCUAUCUUCUUUUCAUUGUAAUUCAAUGUAUCUCGUUAUAUUUCAUGUAUUUCAUUGUAUUUCAUAUCUUUUUUUCUCAUUGUAUUUCAAUGUAUCCCCUUGUAUUCUAUGUAUUUCAUUAUAUUCAUUGUCUCGCUAUAUGCCAUGAAUGUAUCAUAUAUAUGUAUAUAUAUAUAUAUAUUUUAAAAACCGAUCAAUUGGUUUUAAUCAGAAAAAAAUCGAACCAAACCGACUAUAGGAGUAGCUAUUUCAAAUUUAUUAUGACACAUAUACAUAUGUAUAUUUUUAUACAUAGUUUCAAAAUUUUUAUGGUAAAAGUUUCUACCAUUACCAUUACGUUUGAGUGGCCCAAUAUUUCACUUCCUGUAUCUCUCUUAAAUUUUUUUAUAUUUAAUUUUUAUUGAAGAAUUAAUUCAAAUAACUGUUAAUUCAACCGCUUAUACUAAAAAUAAUCACUUGAGGUUUAAUAUAUAUAUAUAUAUAUAUAUAUAUAUAAUUUAUGUAUUCAGAUGUAUUAUAUAAUUUCUCUGAAGAUUGCUAUAUUUUUGGAGUAUUUUUCGGUUGAUAAUCUUAAAAUAUAAAACUUAUGUGUUAUAAUUGAGUUUGUUGAGUUAUAUUAGGAGUCUAUCAUGUUAAUUGAUUUACUUUUCAUUUUAAAAACAAUGUAGUCCCCUAUUUUACGUAGUGAAUACAGUCGAAUACAAUAAUUUAUCCAGUUGUAAUCCCAUGUUUCACUCGAUAAAUAUAGUCGAAUACACUCGAAUACAACAACUGAUUAGUUGGACUUCCCUGAUUCACGACUAUUUUUGCUUCUUUAUUCAUGAAUACAAUAGCUUAAAUAAAUAAAAUACAUCUUAUAAACACUGAAAAGGUAUCUAUAAUCCGUAGUAUAGUAAAUGAUAUCUAUAAAUGGCUAAUUACUACUAAAAAAUAGUUAUUUAUAAAAAUUUCUCAAAUUAAAACAUCUCAGAAUCAGAGGUGGAUCCAAGGUUUAAAUAUGAUGGGUGCAAUCUUUAUGUUCUUACCUAAUUAAUCCAUUGCGAUUUCAUGAUUAUGAUUUCAAACACCCUAUAAAUCCUAUUAACCUAACUAAUAACAAUGAUAAAGCUCCCUUCAUGCAUGCAUUCCCCAACCCAUGUGACCAAUCAUCCAUAAAACACUUGGAACACAAUUGUGGACAAGUGGCGAAGGAUAUAUCUAUGCAAGAUAUGGACAUAUACCACACGCAACAACCUGCCCAAACCAAGCAAAUAGAAGUAAUCAUUAGGGACUCCCCCAAUCACCUCACAACUGCCCCUCUUAUAAACUCUAUAGUUCACAAAUAUGGCCAGAACUCCACUAACACUAAGGAGGAAAUAUCGUCUACUUCAACUAAUUCAUCUCUCUUGCAAUUCCAACAUGAUUAUCCUUCCAAAUCUCCUACCCUAACUCCACCCAAAUCCGAUGAUAUAUGCACAACCACCAAGCCCACCAAAUCACAUCCCACAAUCAUGCGUAGAACUGAGUCUACAAGGCCAUGCAGUAACCUUCAAUAUGGAGAUCAAUGGGCAAGAAUCCAUACUGAUCAUUCAGAACACUUACUUCUUAGCCCAACUGAUCUUAGAAGGGAUGAGUCUAGCCAUGAACAAUUAUGUCAACCAAAUGUGGAUGAACAAUAUCCUUCAACCAUUAGCCUCAUCAAUGAAUCCAAACCUAGUCAACAACAUGCAACAAAUGUGGAACAUUCUACACCACUCAAACCAACAAAUACUCCAAAAUUCAACACUAAACCUUCCAUUUUCUGCUCCGAAAGAUCUCAUGCUUCAAAACCCAGUGUUCAAAAAGUGGACUGCCCAGGCAGUAUCCAACCAACAACAUGACCCACAUCAAGAUUCAAUAGACGAGCAAGCACUACCACUAAGCAUGCCAAACCAAGAAGGGAUACAGGAGGAAGGAGAGGAGCUGAAAAACUUGCCACCCUUGGGGGAGCCAGCAGUGAUUUUUUCAAGCCUAAGCAAGGUAAAAAUACUAAUAUUCAGGGAGAUGCUCGACACAAAAUCUAUCUUCAGUUGCCCAGUGACAUACAAAUGCUCACUGGAUAUUUGACCACCAUAGGACCUAACUGUGGGGAAGAAUGUAGUGAUCUUAGUCCCCUCCCCAAGGGUGAUUCCAAACAAUAACCCCCCCCCCCCCCNNNNNNNNNNNNNNNNNNNNNNNNNNNNNNNNNNNNNNNNNNNNNNNNNNNNNNNNNNNNNNNNNNNNNNNNNNNNNNNNNNNNNNNNNNNNNNNNNNNNNNNNNNNNNNNNNNNNNNNNNNNNNNNNNNNNNNNNNNNNNNNNNNNNNNNNNNNNNNNNNNNNNNNNNNNNNNNNNNNNNNNNNNNNNNNNNNNNNNNNNNNNNNNNNNNNNNNNNNNNNNNNNNNNNNNNNNNNNNNNNNNNNNNNNNNNNNNNNNNNNNNNNNNNNNNNNNNNNNNNNNNNNNNNNNNNNNNNNNNNNNNNNNNNNNNNNNNNNNNNNNNNNNNNNNNNNNNNNNNNNNNNNNNNNNNNNNNNNNNNNNNNNNNNNNNNNNNNNNNNNNNNNNNNNNNNNNNNNNNNNNNNNNNNNNNNNNNNNNNNNNNNNNNNNNNNNNNNNNNNNNNNNNNNNNNNNNNNNNNNNNNNNNNNNNNNNNNNNNCCCCCCCCCAACAAUAACCCCAUGCAUCAGCCUAACAGUACUGUGGUUUGGAACGUUAGAGGUGCUAACAAUGCAAACUUUACUAGGAAUUUUAAAGAAAUAAUGGAUACCCACAUGCCUUGUUUGGCUGAACUAUUGGAAACAAAAAUGGAAAGUCACAUAUCUAUCCUAGAGGAUUUUAGCUUUACAGAGGUGAUCGAGGUUCCUUCAGUAGGGCGAAGUGGAGCCUUUGUAAUCUUGUGGAACAAUGAGGUGGUAACAGUCAAUAAUUUCACUAGAAAUAGGCAAGCCAUACAUGCAAUGAUCGAGGUAAAACCUAAAAACUUAUCCUGGUUAUUUACUGCAAUUUAUGCUAGUAAUAACAUUCGUUAUAGGUGCAAGUUAUGGGAUAAUUUACGAAGUGUCUAUGAUGAGUAUAAAGGACCAUGGUUAGUGGGGAGGGAUUUCAACGAAGUUACUAACACUACCGAUAAGUUUGGGGUAGAAAUAUAAACCAAAAAAGAGCUAAAUACUUAAUAAACUGUCGAGACUAUUGUAACUUAGUGGAUUUAAGCUUCAAGGGGUGUAAGUAUACCUGGUCAAACCACCGAAGGAAAAAAAGGUUUGAUCAUGGAGAGGCUAAGUAGGAUUUUCUCUAAUGAUAAAUUGUCACAAGCCUAUGUGAAUGUAAACAUAACUCACCUACCAAAAAUUCAUUCUGAUAAUAACACUACUCUUAUUAACCUUAAUAAUAGAAUUAAUACGGAUAAGGACAUAUCUUUUCGUAUAGAAACUUAUUGGUGUACACAUCCGGAUUUUAGCCGGCUUAUCUUAACUAGCUGGGAAAAUAAAGGUUUAAUAGGGGGUGGGUCUAAAAUUUUCCAGAAAAAUGUGUUAGAAUGGAAAAACAUAACCUUUGAAAAUAUUUUUGUUAGGAAAAUAAAACUUUUAAAAAGGAUUUAUGGGAUUCAAAAUUCUAUCAACUACCAAACAAGUAUAUUCCUUCAAGACCUUGAAACCAGACUUACUGAGGAGUAUAACACAAUUCUCAAAUUGGAAGAAGAUUAUUGGAAAAUUAGGUCUAGAGUUAAUUGGUUGAACGAAGGGGAUUCUAGUACUAAGUUUUUUCAUAUAAAAGCUACUAAUAGGAGGAGAAGAAACAAUAUUGUUUUCUUCAAAGAUGAGCUAGGAAAUUGGAUUGAAGGCCAAUCCUCCAUAAUGGAUCAUGUUACUGAAUACUUCACUCAAUUAUUCACAACAUCUCACAAUUGGACCAACUAUAAUAUUAUUAAAAAUGAUGUUACAAACUUUACCCCAUGUGACCUCUCAAUCCUAGAUAUGCCCCUAAUAAAUCAAGAAAUUAGAAGAGCCGUGUUUUCUUUUAAGCUAUACAAGGCACCAGAGCAGGAUGGACUAUAUCCAUUUUUUUCCAAAGAUUCUGGCAUAUAUUAGGUAACAAGGUUAUUAAUCUAUACCACACCAUUCUUAACACCUCAAAAAUACCCAAGAGGUAAACCAAACCUAUAUAUGCCUAUUCCAAAAGUCAAUAAUGCUAACACAGCUAAAAUAUCUUAGACCAACAAGCCUUUGCAACAUAAUUUAUAAAAUUAUCACCAAAGUGAUUGCUAACAAGAUCAAGCCUUUUCUUAACCAAUUGAUCAAUAUAGAACAAGCCAGCUUUAUAAAGGGAAUGAGUGUUAGUGACAAUGCAAUCAUUAUUCAAGAUGUUCUUAAGAAUUUUAACCACUAUAAAAGAAAAAGAAAAAAUUGUCCUAAAGCUUGAUUUAUAAAAAGCGUUCGACAAACUAGAAUGGACAUAUAUCUAUCGAACACUUAGUUUUUUCAACUUCCCAGGAAGAUUAGUAACCUCAUCCUCAGUUAUGUUACCACGAGUACAAUUUCAACCCUAGUUAAUGGUAGGAAAACUAAGGAAUUCACUCCCACAAGGGGGAUUAGACAAGGAGACCUCAUGUCCCUCUACAUAUUCAUACUUUGUAUGGAUAUUCUUUCUAAAACCAUUAGCCACGAAGUAAAUAUUAGAAAUUGGGUACCCUUUAAAAUGAAUACCACCCCUCUCUUAUUUAUGUUUUGCAGAUGACUUGACUCUAAUAGGUGAGGUUAAUCAAAAAUCCCUUAGGACUAUUAACAAAUGCAUAGAGGAUUUUAGCAAAUUAUGAGUUCUAAUCAUCAAUAAGGCCAAAUCAAAAAUAGUCAUGUCUAGAAAAAACAAACAAGGGAAAUGGCUACUCACAUGCUUGGGAUUACUGUUAGUAAUAGUUUUGGUAAUUACCUAGAUUUUUCAAUAGUAAAUAAAUUCCCGAGGCACAAGGACUAUCAGCCUUUAGUUGACAAGAUACAUACUAGAUUAAAUAAUUGGAAUGGUAAGUGGUUUAGUAUGGCUGGUAGGUGCACUGUAAUAACAUCAACCUUAAAUACACUGCCAAAUCACCUAAUGCAAAUAAGUUUAUUUCCCACUAAAACACUCCAAGAGAUAGACAAGAUCCAGAGAGAUUUCAUAUGGGGUACUAUAAGGGAUAAGAGGAAACUACACCUAAUCAGUUGGAACACAAUCACAAAGAACAAGUCAAAUGGAGGCUUGGGUAUCAAGAAAGCAAAAUCCAAAAAUCUGGCUCUCCUUAUAGGAUUGGCUUGGAGAAUUCUCACUAACACUAAUUUCUUAUGGGCCAAAAUACUAAUUAGCAUCUAUGAAAAAGAAAAAGAACAAUUGGCUCCUCAAUUACCAGGAAAAGUCUCCUAAUAUGUUGGACCAUAUGUAAUAAAGGCAUUAGAUGGCCAGUAAAUAGACACUCACGUAUGAAUAUAUGGGAUACAAAUUGGAUCCCAAAUUUCACUAGUCUUCGCGAUAGCAUUUCAGUGCCGUUAAAAAUAGAUACGGAGAAGCUAAGUAUAAGUGACAUAUGUGAUACAAAAGGGUGGAACCAAACCAAUCAAAAAUAGCAUAAAUGCAAUUGAUCGAAUUAUCCACAUAACUAUCAAAACGGGCUCAAUUGGAGUCUUAACCCUAGUGGUAUAUUCACAACAUCCUCUUCAUAUAAGUUAAUAGAUAACCACAACCUAAAGACACAAUCUAUCAAUUGAAUUUGGGAUUUACAUUUCCCCAACAAGAUUAAGCUCUUCAUCUGGAAACUCUACCAUAUGAGAUUAUCCACAAGAGACUAUCUUGCUAAGAUUGGUAUUAAUAUAGGCCCAACAUGCCCAAUAUAUAAGACAAAUAACGAAUCUAUUUAUCACGUUUUCUGGGAAUGCCUCAUAGUUAAGACUUUAUGGCAAAAUCUAGGAGUGACCAUAAAAAAUUACGAAACAAUCAAUGAAUGGUUACACGGCAUUUGGAACAAUAGAAACCAUAAUAACAUCAAUAACCAAACCUCUCAUAUAAAUGUGGAAAAUUUUUUGGCCUACACAAGUGAAUACUCUUUAUUAACAAACAAGAAGACUUUUCACAACAAGGUUAUAUGGCUAAAUGUCAAAUGGGAACGACCAAUAAAAGGAUGGCUUAAGGCCAACAUUGAUGGAGCAUUCAAUAUGGAAGGGGGCAUCAGCGGAGUAGUUCGUAAUUCAAAUGGAAGGUGGAAGACCGGGGUUUUAAUGAAAAUACAAGCAAUAUCACCAAUACAUAUGGAAUUACAAGCCCGUUUGCAUUCAUUACAACUAAUCAUCAAAGAACAUAUGUUCCCUAUAGUAGUGAAAACUGAUGCCAUAGAUAUUAUUAGCAUUAUUAGUAAAGAUUACCUUACUAAUAAUGUUUUAAUUCAUAAAUGCAGAUUAUUGGUUGUCACACCUCCUUCUACACGAUUAUUACCCCGAAGGAUAAAAACGCGUUAGGGAUUUUUUCCAAUUAAAAUGACAUGAUUCAAAAUGAGAUUAUUUAUUUAUUAGAGUUGCCACUUAGGAUAGGUUUGGCUUUUGGUGUCCUAAGUCACCGGUUUAUUUAGGAUCCCAAGUCGAGGAAAUUUGUCGACUGCCUAAAUGGAGUCUGCGUACCAGAAAUUCUAGGUAAAGAGUUCUGCUGACCCGAGGGAAGGUGUUAGGCACCCUCGGAUCCCGUGAUUCUAGCACGGUCUCUUAAACUAUUGUAAAUGGCUAAAAAUUCUGAUCUUACACAUGUUCAUCCUAAAAAUUCAUUUUUUAAUACUUAUACCGCUUUUAAUAUUUUUUAAGGAAAAUUGCGAUGUCGUUAAAACUUAUUGCGAACCAUGUCACAUAAAUGCGCACGUAGCUUUUGACAUAUUUUAACUUCAUCGGGAUUUUGAUUUGUGUCACUUAAAUGUGCACCCGUACUUAGGAAGAUAAAAUUAUUAAAAACGGUCUAAAAGCGAUUAACAUGUUAUUAUCUUUGCAGGAAGCCGUGAAGUUCACCAAACGGCAUCUCCCGAAUCUCUAAGCAUUUUUAUAUAAAUAUUUCACGAGGGGUGCGCAAUUUAUAGGUUCUGUUUGGCGCGGCACACUUCGUAUAUUAUUUUGAAGGUUUGUCCCAAGCAAAUUAGAAUUUUCUAUAAGGUUCGUCUCUAAAAAACUCAGUUAGCUAACAUUGGAGCCCGGACUAUCAAACUCAAGUCUAUAUUUAACUAAGAAGAUAAUUUCCUUUACUCCAAUGUGUCAUCUGAUUUGAAAAGUCAAAUUUAACUCGGUCAGGUUUUUAGUUAAAAGCUGGCUGGUAAUGCCAAGUUGUGUUUGGCCUUCAAGCAAGCCCAAGGCUGACAGGAACAAGAAAAUGGGGUCCAUGACACCAUUAUUCUUACAAACCUCUAUGUUAUAUCAUAUUCGAAACUCAACUUAUUUUUUUCAUUUACAUGUGAAUGAUAGAUAACCCAAAGUAAUAUGUAGAAUUAAAGCCCCAAUUUCAAGUUUAUGAGAGCAUAUUGAUUAACACAGGAAUUUAACUAAACCAUGCUAACAUUAUGUUCGGCUAGAGUAUCUGAUUUUUUCUGACUACUCUAUCACUUAAAUGAGAUUAUGCCACAACUUUUACUUCACUUACAUAAUCCAAAAUAAUAGUUUAUCAGUCCAUUUAUACAGAAUGAGUAAUCUUCUGAUCAAUACUAUCAAAUUAAAUGCAAAACAAAAAUUCAUCUGAACAGAUUUGAAUAGUAUAAUAGAGGCAAAACAGGCUUUUCGAUGUGUAUUCUUCAAUUAAACAAUCGUACAUGUGAAUUCAAUCCAACCGACACUUGGAGUUUUAAAAUGUACCUGGAGUUACAAUUAUCAAAGAAGAUGGGCGUCAACAGUGUGUUAGCAAACUCCAUUAGCAGUAUAAUGACAGAAAUCAAGCAACUCGAAUGAUAUUGUAAACCCAGAAAAUAAAAAUUAAUCAACCCAAGAAAACUUUAAAACAAUAACACCAGCAAAUCAACUCAAUACAGCUUGAAUAAGAACCAUCCAACUCGAGAUCAAACCCAGAAUAGUUUCUGAAAGGUCUAACACUUUUAACACCUAUAUUUCAAGUUGUUUUCAUCUUAUAUAGCUAAAAUUCUAAUCAUCAGGUGAGAAUUGAAAUUAAUCUGAAGGAAAAGACCUGAUGGAACAGUAAAAACCCCUGAAAUUUCAGGAUUUUCAGACCUGGAACUUCUGGAAAGUUUUUAAGAAAUUUUUCUAGGUUUUUUUUUAGAAUAAAAAGAGCUUGGGGAUUUUCUAGGGAUUUUUCAGACCUCCUAAUGAAGGCACUAACUUGCCUAUUUUAACCCAAACUUAGGGCAACCCCUUUCUUUUGUGUUUACUCAUUAGUCCUUUUCUUAUUUCCUUGAAUUGUUCACUUAGUCCCUCAUUUUCUGGCUUGUGCCUCAAGUAUUGUCAUCAUAAUACCAGAAUUUUAUUCUUUGAACCUCCACCUAGAAGGUUCCAAAGGUUUACUGCAAGAUUCCAAUAUCCAAAUACCCCUAUUUCCCUUAUCCUUUCCCCUCAAUUACUUAACAUAACCAAUUACACUCUAGUUCUUAUCAUGUUGGUCAGACUUUGACUAUAGUUAAUUACUCAAGGUAAUAAGAAUGAUUAAACCAUAACCAAACCCAAUCUGAUUAUCACCCUAAUUAACCUGAGCUGAAAUGUUAGAAUAAACUAAACACCAGAUGUAAAGGAUACUGAAGCUAGAUCAAUUAUUUUACCCAAGAUCAAAAAGCGAACAAAACUGUCACACACAAACUGAUUAAUGGAGGAAAAAUUGAAGACCUCAUCACUAACUAAAUAUUGAACAAGAGUCAUAUAGUUACAAUCAAAACAUAAUCACAAAAUACCUAACUUAAUCCCAAGACAUGCCGGAUGGAAACAAUCAAAUCCUAAUAACCUAACUUGAGCCUCAACUAUUACUCAAACAUGAUGUUCAUGAAUCAACACAGAACGAAUCAAAUUAUAACUUCAAAAAUAUAGAAGUCCAGUCACUCGAAGUGAAAAAAGGAAUCAUUCAAAGCGGAUCAUCAAUAACAUUAAACAGAGAAACAGAAAUCUGAGUAAACCUAAACCAAAAUUUCAAAUAAACCUAACAGAGGGUCAUUAACAAACAUGCAAGAACAAACAACACGAAAGAAUAAGAGAUUGAACAGGGAAACUUAGCUUAGUGACUAGGCAUAGUCCAAAACCCAUGACCCUUAAACUUCUAGGAUUUCCGGCUAACAUUCAAUUUCACAUUUGGGAAGGACUUUUGACAUUUGAGGGAGGAAGAUUAAGGAUUUAAGAGAAUGAGGGUGAGAAUAAUAUAGGGUGUGAGUUUGGUUGGGCUUGGAAAGGUUGGGCUUUGGACCGGGUUUUUUGAUUUAAUAUUUGACAAAACCCAGUCAUGUUUGAGGGUUAUUGGUUACAGAUUCAUGGAGAGGGAGGCGAUGGGGUUUUGUGGUGUAAUUUUGGGUUUGUUUGGGGUGGCGAUGUCGUAGACGGCAGAGGCGUCGUUCACAUUUUUGAAGAUUCGAGAAGCUGGGCCAAGGUUUGAGGAAUAAUUUUAGGGCGUUGGAAAGAGGAGGAAGAGGUGGUUUAGUGGUGCAUUUUUGGGUGAGUUUGGAGCUUCGCCGCCAGAGGCGACUUUUCCGGCCAACGGCGGUGAGUCGGAGGGUUGGUGGAGACGAUAGGUACGAGGAAGAAUAGGCUUGGUCUCUAGGGUUUACA